Molecule: non-coding RNA, 45 nt
Organism: Schistosoma mansoni
Lineage: Eukaryota; Metazoa; Platyhelminthes; Trematoda; Strigeidida; Schistosomatidae
Source: Rfam
AUCCAGCUGAUGAGUCUCAAAUAAGACGAAAUGCGCGAUCUGGAU